AGAAUCCGUUUGAUCCUGACGGACCUGACUGCUAUCAGAUUGAUACUAAGCCAUGUUAGUCAUUGUAGUAAUACAAGGCAGACGGCUCAGUAACACGUAGUCAACCUAACUUAUGGACGGGGAUAACCUCGGGAAACUGAGAAUAAUACCCGAUAGGUCAUGAUGCCUGGAAUGGUUUAUGACUCAAAUAAUUUAUUGCCGUAGGAUGGGACUGCGAGCUAUCAGCUUGUUGGUGAGGUAAUGGCCCACCAAGGCUUUGACAGCUACGGGCUCUGAGAGGAGUAGCCCGGAGAUGGGUACUGAGACAAGGACCCAGGCCCUAUGGGGCGCAGCAGGCGAGAAAACUUUGCAAUGCGCGAAAGCUCGACAAGGUUAAUCUGAGUGGUUCCUGCUAAAGGAACCUUUUGUUAGUCGUAGAACCACUGAUGAAUAAGGGGUGGGCAAGUUCUGGUGUCAGCCGCCGCGGUAAAACCAGCACCUCAAGUGGUCAGGAUGAUUAUGGGGCCUAAAGCAUCCGUAGCC
Molecule: ribosomal RNA, 522 nt
Filed under: Nitrososphaerota archaeon
Lineage: Archaea; Thermoproteati; Nitrososphaerota
Description: bacterial SSU rRNA
Rfam family: Archaeal small subunit ribosomal RNA
Source: RNAcentral